This 460-nucleotide ribosomal RNA is filed under the name uncultured bacterium. RNAcentral's name for it is "partial 16S ribosomal RNA". It matches the Rfam family "Bacterial small subunit ribosomal RNA", at positions 338 to 795 of the family's 1533-position model. The record is from RNAcentral.
CCUACGGGUGGCAGCAGUGAGGAAUAUUGGUCAAUGGGCGAAAGCCUGAUCCAGCCAAGUCGCGUGAAGGAUGACGGCCCUCCGGGUUGUAAACUUCUUUUGCCAGGGAGCAAUUGAGUCCACGUGUGGGCUUAGCGAGAGUACCUGAAGAAAAAGCAUCGGCUAACUCCGUGCCAGCAGCCGCGGUAAUACGGAGGAAGCGAGCGUGAUCGGGAUUUAUUGGGUUUGAAGGGUGCGUAGGCGGAAUAUCAAGUCAGCGGUAAAAAUUCGGGGCUCAACCCCGUCGUGCCGUUGAAACUGAUGUUCUUGAGUGGGCGAGAGGUAGGCGGAAUGCGUGGUGUAGCGGUGAAAUGCAUAGAGAUCAGGCAGAACUCCGGUGGCGAAGGCAGCAUACCGGCGCCCAACUGACGCUGAGGCACGAAAGCGUGGGUAUCGAACAGGAUUAGAUACCCGGGUAGUC